Molecule: small nucleolar RNA, 66 nt
Organism: Coturnix japonica (Japanese quail)
Lineage: Eukaryota; Metazoa; Chordata; Aves; Galliformes; Phasianidae
Source: Ensembl
CCAGAGGUGAUGACAGACCCACAGCUGAUGCAGUGAUGGUUGUUGUGUUCGUACUGUCUGAUCUGG